AAAAGGGACAUGUAACUGGCCUUCGUAUAAAGAAAGAAGUCACAUGAAAAGAGCAAUUCUGGAACACAGAGAACCAGAUACAUCCUGAGAGAAUUUUUAUAUUGUUAUCCUGGGAGAAUAUUGUGCUUUCAAAGAAAAUCGGGCCACCAGAGAGGUACCUUGCAAUAUUAUUGAAAAUAUUAUAAAAGACUGGUUGAAAAGUGUUUCAUUUAGAGAAAAGUAUCAUAAACAAAAAGGAAAAUGUACAACAGAAGGAAGUUUGUAAACAAUGGAAUAAAAAAUUUGUGUAUUAGCUUGUACGAAAAUACUGUAAUUAAAGUUAUUAAUUGUUCA
Molecule: long non-coding RNA, 333 nt
Filed under: Stegodyphus dumicola
Lineage: Eukaryota; Metazoa; Arthropoda; Arachnida; Araneae; Eresidae
Description: uncharacterized LOC118200291
Source: RNAcentral